ACUCCUACGGGAGGCAGCAGUAGGGAAUCUUCCACAAUGGGCGCAAGCCUGAUGGAGCAACACCGCGUGAGUGAAGAAGGGUUUCGGCUCGUAAAGCUCUGUUGUUAAAGAAGAACACGUAUGAGAGUAACUGUUCAUACGUUGACGGUAUUUAACCAGAAAGUCACGGCUAACUACGUGCCAGCAGCCGCGGUAAUACGUAGGUGGCAAGCGUUAUCCGGAUUUAUUGGGCGUAAAGAGAGUGCAGGCGGUUUUCUAAGUCUGAUGUGAAAGCCUGCGGCUUAACCGGAGAAGUGCAUCGGAAACUGGAUAACUUGAGUGCAGAAGAGGGUAGUGGAACUCCAUGUGUAGCGGUGGAAUGCGUAGAUAUAUGGAAGAACACCAGUGGCGAAGGCGGCUACCUGGUCUGCAACUGACGCUGAGACUCGAAAGCAUGGGUAGCGAACAGGAUUAGAUACCCUGGUAGGAUAGCG
This 473-nucleotide ribosomal RNA is filed under the name uncultured bacterium. Its description in RNAcentral is "bacterial SSU rRNA". It matches the Rfam family "Bacterial small subunit ribosomal RNA", at positions 335 to 801 of the family's 1533-position model. The record is from RNAcentral.